UCGGGCACGGUGUAGCGGUAACAUCGCUGACUCUCACUCAGCAGCCCGGGGUUCGCUCCCCGUAUCCGAG
Molecule: non-coding RNA, 70 nt
Organism: Schizothecium vesticola
Lineage: Eukaryota; Fungi; Ascomycota; Sordariomycetes; Sordariales; Schizotheciaceae
Source: the annotation of a GenBank genome assembly